RNAcentral lists this ribosomal RNA (301 nucleotides) under uncultured bacterium. RNAcentral describes it as "partial 16S ribosomal RNA". It matches the Rfam family "Bacterial small subunit ribosomal RNA", at positions 509 to 807 of the family's 1533-position model. The record is from RNAcentral.
CAGUCGCCGCGGGAAUACGGAGGGUGCAAGCGUUAAUCGGAAUUACUGGGCGUAAAGGGCUCGCAGGCGGUUUCUUAAGUCUGAUGUGAAAGCCCCCGGCUCAACCGGGGAGGGUCAUUGGAAACUGGGAAACUUGAGUGCAGAAGAGGAGAGUGGAAUUCCACGUGUAGCGGUGAAAUGCGUAGAGAUGUGGAGGAACACCAGUGGCGAAGGCGACUCUCUGGUCUGUAACUGACGCUGAGGAGCGAAAGCGUGGGGAGCGAACAGGAUUAGAUACCCCUGUAGUCCCUGUCUCUUAUAC